Molecule: long non-coding RNA, 724 nt
Organism: Amphimedon queenslandica
Lineage: Eukaryota; Metazoa; Porifera; Demospongiae; Haplosclerida; Niphatidae
Exons: 2
Source: RefSeq, a predicted model, not a curated record
AACGUGUUGAGCACGAGCUACAGUGUUAAUCUCUUUCACAGUUUCCUCCAACUCCAUUGCUGUUUCAUCAGAUUCCACUGCCUUUUACUGCCUUUAAGGAGACGCGCAGCUACUUGUCGAACCAAGGAGAUGAGCGCAGUGCCUUUUUAUGCAGUAAACACCUCUACCCGCUCCCUCGAGAGCCCAAAGAACAGGAGACAGCUUUUAUCCACGGACCAAGUUGAAGGGAAGACCAGAAGCAGCUCUUUUACAACUGCAGGGACAGUAGCUACUAGCUCUCCUCUGGCCAGAGCCAGAACCUCUUCUUAUGGAAACUACUUGCAUAAAGAUCUGAAACAUACCUUGGAUUCCUUCAGGCAGUAGAUCUAAAGUGGCGGCCUCUUGUAUUCAUAAUCUUCAAGCAUAAUGACUUUAUUGCAGACUCGAUGCAUUAUCACGACAAUCCUUCUCUCUCUCUCUCUCUCUCUCUCGUGCAGCUAUUUUGUAUGAGUAAUAAUGUCCGACUCACUUAAAAGGUGUAAUGCCAUGCAAAUAUUUGUAAUGUCUGUAACAUACAACCCCUAACCUUGUCACCAAUUUUUUAUAUGUAUUCUAUGUAUUUCAUAUUAAUGAAAAUACUGUAAUUGUUAUUAUUAUUCUUAUAAUUCUUAUUGUUAUUUCAACCUGAGUUUUGUGGCUAGACAGCUCAGGAAAUCCUUAUCUAAUUUAAAAAGUGUUGAAUACC